UACAGAGGUCCCAAGCGUUGUUCGGAUUCAUUGGGCGUAAAGCGCGUGUAGGCGGCCCUGCAAGUCGGAUGUGAAAUCCCACGGCUCAACCGUGGAAGUGCAUUCGAAACUGCAGGGCUAGAGUCCUGGAGAGGAAGGUGGAAUGCUUGGUGUAGAGGUGAAAUUCGUAGAUAUCAAGCGGAACACCGGUGGCGAAGGCGGCCUUCUGGACAGUGACUGACGCUGAGACGCGAAAGCGUGGGGAGCAAACAGG
RNAcentral lists this ribosomal RNA (253 nucleotides) under uncultured bacterium. RNAcentral describes it as "partial 16S ribosomal RNA". It matches the Rfam family "Bacterial small subunit ribosomal RNA", at positions 524 to 776 of the family's 1533-position model. The record is from RNAcentral.